RNAcentral lists this unclassified non-coding RNA (208 nucleotides) under plant metagenome. RNAcentral's name for it is "partial contains small subunit ribosomal RNA and internal transcribed spacer 1". The stretch from base 1 to 47 matches the Rfam family "Eukaryotic small subunit ribosomal RNA", at positions 1785 to 1831 of the family's 1831-position model. The record is from RNAcentral.
AAUGUCGUAACAAGGUUUCCGUAGGUGAACCUGCGGAAGGAUCACUAGUGAAUACAUCGGGAGCGUCUUAACUGACCUCCCCAAACCCUUCACAAUCCACAUACACCUGUGCACUGUUUUCGGCUUUUGGAGCAAUCGAAACGCCAAUCAUUUAAUACAAAUCCCCGUAGUUUAAUGAAUGUAACCGUUUAUAUAAUCAAAAGUAAAA